GAUGAACGCUGGCGGCGUGCCUAAUACAUGCAAGUCGAGCGAACAGACGAGGAGCUUGCUCCUCUGACGUUAGCGGCGGAAGGGGGAGUAAAACGUGGAUAACCUACCUAUAAGACUGGGAUAACUUCGGGAAACCGGAGCUAAUACCGGAUAAUAUAUUGAACCGCAUGGUUCAAUAGUGAAAGACGGUUUUGCUGUCACUUAUAGAUGGAUCCGCGCCGAAUUAGCUAGUUGGUAAGGUAACGGCUUACCAAGGCAACGAUGCGUAGCCGACCUGAGAGGGAGAUCGGGCACGCUGGAACUGAGACACGGUCCAGACUCCUACGGGAGGCGGCAGUAGGGAAUCUUCCGCAAUGGGCGAAAGCUUGACGGAGCAACGCCGCGUGAGUGAUGAAGGUCUUCGGAUCGUAAAACUCUGUUAUUAGGGAAGAACAAAUGUGUAAGUAACUAUGCACGUCUUGACGGUACCUAAUCAGAAAGCCACGGCUAACUACGUG
RNAcentral lists this ribosomal RNA (497 nucleotides) under uncultured bacterium. RNAcentral's name for it is "partial 16S ribosomal RNA". It matches the Rfam family "Bacterial small subunit ribosomal RNA", at positions 28 to 507 of the family's 1533-position model. The record is from RNAcentral.